This 73-nucleotide transfer RNA is filed under the name Trichonephila clavipes. It matches the Rfam family "tRNA". Rfam says of the family: Transfer RNA (tRNA) molecules are approximately 80 nucleotides in length. Their secondary structure includes four short double-helical elements and three loops (D, anti-codon, and T loops). Further hydrogen bonds mediate the characteristic L-shaped molecular structure. tRNAs have two regions of fundamental functional importance: the anti-codon, which is responsible for specific mRNA codon recognition, and the 3' end, to which the tRNAs corresponding amino acid is attached (by aminoacyl-tRNA synthetases). tRNAs cope with the degeneracy of the genetic code in two manners: having more than one tRNA (with a specific anti-codon) for a particular amino acid; and 'wobble' base-pairing, i.e. permitting non-standard base-pairing at the 3rd anti-codon position. The record is from Rfam by way of RNAcentral. Lineage: Eukaryota; Metazoa; Arthropoda; Arachnida; Araneae; Nephilidae.
GUCCCAGUAGCGCAAUGAAUAAUGCGUUGGACUUUUAAUCCAAAGGACGUGGGUUCGAAUCCCACUUGGGAUG